This 377-nucleotide ribosomal RNA is filed under the name uncultured bacterium. Its description in RNAcentral is "bacterial SSU rRNA". It matches the Rfam family "Bacterial small subunit ribosomal RNA", at positions 521 to 896 of the family's 1533-position model. The record is from RNAcentral.
UAAUACGUAGGGGGCUAGCGUUGUCCGGAAUCAUUGGGCGUAAAGAGCGCGUAGGCGGCCCGAUAAGUCUGCUGUGAAAGUCCAGGGCUCAACCCUGGAAUGCCAGUGGAUACUGUCGGGCUAGAGUACGGAAGAGGCGAGUGGAAUUCCUGGUGUAGCGGUGGAAUGCGCAGAUAUCAGGAGGAACACCAAUAGCGAAGGCAGCUCGCUGGGACGUUACUGACGCUGAGGCGCGAAAGCGUGGGGAGCAAACAGGAUUAGAUACCCUGGUAGUCCACGCCGUAAACGAUGGGCACUAGGUGUGGGAGGUGUCGACUCCUUCCGCGCCGUCGCUAACGCAUUAAGUGCCCCGCCUGGGGAGUACGGCCGCAAGGCUA